Molecule: non-coding RNA, 23 nt
Filed under: Arabidopsis thaliana (thale cress)
Lineage: Eukaryota; Viridiplantae; Streptophyta; Magnoliopsida; Brassicales; Brassicaceae
Source: RNAcentral
UAUUAUCUCGAUAAUGCGUUAUC